ACCUGUACAAGACCAUGAUUGGAAAGUGUGGGGACCAAGCACCCAGCGGCCAGAGAAACAUCAUGUGGACUGUUUCUGUCUUGGCUAAUCCUCAUCAGUGCUUUGAGCUGCAGGAAGUCAUGAGAACCAAGGCAACACAGGUGCAUCACCAGGGAUUUGCUCUUCUCCUGGUCUGCUCUUGAAGCACAGCACGAAGUUUCAUCCUUUGCUUCUGCAGCAAGUUCUUGUUACCCAGUUCCCGCUGACAAUGAGGGAAGAGGCACAAGUCAGCUCAGAAAAUGAACGACUAGAAGACUGUGUGGUCUCAGUGAUAUUGUACCAUCCUGGUUCCUGCUUUCAGGCUGGAGUCACAAGCUGGACUUGGAAGAAGCAACUUUCGGGCAGAGAUGUAACUGCAGAGUUAAUACUAUGCCAGGGUCUUGGGUUAUCUCAUGCAACCUUUCUGUGUUGACUGCUCUGUGUUAGUUUUGCUCAGACAGAAGGUAGAGGUAAUGGAUAAUUUCUUUAUGGAUGAAAGCAACAAAGUUUCCUGAUGUCUAGUAACUACUCAAUACCAGCAACUUACACAUCCCUCUGUGCUACUACUAUUGCUUUGAAGCAAUUUAUUUAGUCACUUGGACUUUAACUACUCAGAUGCAUUCCUUCCUGCUGCAGCAGCAGGGAUACAGGAAGGGGUGUUUGAAACCACGCGGUGAUUUCCACCCUGGAUUUCAUGAGGGGUUAUUCUUGUCUCAGAGAUGACGCAUUCAAAUAUCCUUCUACAGAUUCCAGCCCACAGGUGCUCCUCAGCUCUGCCUUGGGAUGACACCAUGAAGCAAUGAGGUGACAAACCGGUUUCCUUUCUCAAGCCAAAUGUCACGUAACUGCCCAGGGGCCCGUUUUGGUGGGGGUUGCACCCCCUGACUUUUCAAGGAGAGAUAUGCUACUGUGACCCAUCCCCACCCUGUACACCUUGCUGAAGGAGAUAAAACUGCUCACUUCCACCUCUGACAUUUCUCAGCCAGGAAGAAAGGCAGGAGGCAUCAGGCUGUAGGGAGGUAUCUGAGCAGCCACCUGACAUGCUGACAAAGA
Manacus vitellinus (golden-collared manakin) is the source of this 1071-nucleotide long non-coding RNA. RefSeq lists it as uncharacterized. The transcript is spliced from 5 exons. The record is from RefSeq and is a predicted model, not a curated record. Lineage: Eukaryota; Metazoa; Chordata; Aves; Passeriformes; Pipridae.